Molecule: ribosomal RNA, 843 nt
Filed under: Ramularia hydrangeae-macrophyllae
Lineage: Eukaryota; Fungi; Ascomycota; Dothideomycetes; Mycosphaerellales; Mycosphaerellaceae
Description: eukaryotic LSU rRNA
Rfam family: Eukaryotic large subunit ribosomal RNA
Source: RNAcentral
GGGAUUGCCCUAGUAACGGCGAGUGAAGCGGCAACAGCUCAAAUUUGAAAUCUGGCGCAAGCCCGAGUUGUAAUUUGUAGAGGAUGCUUCUAGGUAGCGACCGGUCUAAGUUCCUUGGAACAGGACGUCAUAGAGGGUGAGAAUCCCGUAUGUGACCGGCCCGCACCUUCUACGUAGCUCCUUCGACGAGUCGAGUUGUUUGGGAAUGCAGCUCUAAAUGGGAGGUAAAUUUCUUCUAAAGCUAAAUACCGGCCAGAGACCGAUAGCGCACAAGUAGAGUGAUCGAAAGAUGAAAAGCACUUUGGAAAGAGAGUUAAAAAGCACGUGAAAUUGUUGAAAGGGAAGCGCUCACAACCAGACUUCUGGGCGGUGUUCCGCCGGUCUUCUGACCGGUCUACUCACCGUCCCGAGGCCAACAUCAUCUGGGACCGCUGGAUAAGACCUUAGGAAUGUAGCUCCCCCUCGGGGGAGUGUUAUAGCCUGUGGUGAUGCAGCGCGUCUCGGGUGAGGUCCGCGCUUCGGCAAGGAUGUUGGCGUAAUGGUUGUCAGCGGCCCGUCUUGAAACACGGACCAAGGAGUCUAACAUCUAUGCGAGUGUUCGGGUGUCAAACCCCUACGCGUAAUGAAAGUGAACGGAGGUGGGAAGCGUAAGCUGCACCAUCGACCGAUCCUGAUGUCCUCGGAUGGAUUUGAGUAAGAGCAUAGCUGUUGGGACCCGAAAGAUGGUGAACUAUGCCUGAAUAGGGUGAAGCCAGAGGAAACUCUGGUGGAGGCUCGCAGCGGUUCUGACGUGCAAAUCGAUCGUCAAAUUUGGGUAUAGGGGCGAAAGACUAAUCGAACCAU